CCUACGGGUGGCUGCAGUGGGGAAUAUUGCACAAUGGGCGCAAGCCUGAUGCAGCCAUGCCGCGUGUGUGAAGAAGGCCUUCGGGUUGUAAAGCACUUUCAGCGGGGAGGAAGGCGGUGAGGUUAAUAACCUCAUCGAUUGACGUUACCCGCAGAAGAAGCACCGGCUAACUCCGUGCCAGCAGCCGCGGUAAUACGGAGGGUGCAAGCGUUAAUCGGAAUUACUGGGCGUAAAGCGCACGCAGGCGGUCUGUCAAGUCGGAUGUGAAAUCCCCGGGCUCAACCUGGGAACUGCAUUCGAAACUGGCAGGCUAGAGUCUUGUAGAGGGGGGUAGAACUCCAGGUGUAGCGGUGAAAUGCGUAGAGAUCUGGAGGAAUACCGGUGGCGAAGGCGGCCCCCUGGACAAAGACUGACGCUCAGGUGCGAAAGCGUGGGGAGCAAACAGGAUUAGAUACCCCUGUAGUC
This 465-nucleotide ribosomal RNA is filed under the name uncultured Klebsiella sp. RNAcentral describes it as "bacterial SSU rRNA". It matches the Rfam family "Bacterial small subunit ribosomal RNA", at positions 338 to 795 of the family's 1533-position model. The record is from RNAcentral. Lineage: Bacteria; Pseudomonadati; Pseudomonadota; Gammaproteobacteria; Enterobacterales; Enterobacteriaceae.